Molecule: ribosomal RNA, 858 nt
Filed under: Bacillus subtilis
Lineage: Bacteria; Bacillati; Bacillota; Bacilli; Caryophanales; Bacillaceae
Description: bacterial SSU rRNA
Rfam family: Bacterial small subunit ribosomal RNA
Source: RNAcentral
UGGCAGUGCGGCAGCUAUACAUGCAGUCGAGCGGACAGAUGGGAGCUUGCUCCCUGAUGUUAGCGGCGGACGGGUGAGUAACACGUGGGUAACCUGCCUGUAAGACUGGGAUAACUCCGGGAAACCGGGGCUAAUACCGGAUGGUUGUUUGAACCGCAUGGUUCAGACAUAAAAGGUGGCUUCGGCUACCACUUACAGAUGGACCCGCGGCGCAUUAGCUAGUUGGUGAGGUAACGGCUCACCAAGGCGACGAUGCGUAGCCGACCUGAGAGGGUGAUCGGCCACACUGGGACUGAGACACGGCCCAGACUCCUACGGGAGGCAGCAGUAGGGAAUCUUCCGCAAUGGACGAAAGUCUGACGGAGCAACGCCGCGUGAGUGAUGAAGGUUUUCGGAUCGUAAAGCUCUGUUGUUAGGGAAGAACAAGUGCCGUUCAAAUAGGGCGGCACCUUGACGGUACCUAACCAGAAAGCCACGGCUAACUACGUGCCAGCAGCCGCGGUAAUACGUAGGUGGCAAGCGUUGUCCGGAAUUAUUGGGCGUAAAGGGCUCGCAGGCGGUUUCUUAAGUCUGAUGUGAAAGCCCCCGGCUCAACCGGGGAGGGUCAUUGGAAACUGGGGAACUUGAGUGCAGAAGAGGAGAGUGGAAUUCCACGUGUAGCGGUGAAAUGCGUAGAGAUGUGGAGGAACACCAGUGGCGAAGGCGACUCUCUGGUCUGUAACUGACGCUGAGGAGCGAAAGCGUGGGGAGCGAACAGGAUUAGAUACCCUGGUAGUCCACGCCGUAAACGAUGAGUGCUAAGUGUUAGGGGGUUUCCGCCCCUUAGUGCUGCAGCUAACGCAUUAAGCACUCCGCCUG